RNAcentral lists this ribosomal RNA (460 nucleotides) under uncultured bacterium. Its description in RNAcentral is "partial 16S ribosomal RNA". It matches the Rfam family "Bacterial small subunit ribosomal RNA", at positions 338 to 795 of the family's 1533-position model. The record is from RNAcentral.
CCUACGGGCGGCAGCAGUGAGGAAUAUUGGUCAAUGGGCGGAAGCCUGAACCAGCCAAGUCGCGUGAGGGAAUAAGGCCCUACGGGUCGUAAACCUCUUUUGCCGGGGAGCAAGGGCCGGGACGCGUCCCGGCCCGGAGAGUACCCGGAGAAAAAGCAUCGGCUAACUCCGUGCCAGCAGCCGCGGUAAUACGGAGGAUGCGAGCGUUAUCCGGAUUUAUUGGGUUUAAAGGGUGCGUAGGCGGGCUUUUAAGUCAGCGGUAAAAAUUCGGGGCUCAACCCCGUCCGGCCGUUGAAACUGGGUGCCUUGAGUGGGCGAGAAGAAGGCGGAAUGCGUGGUGUAGCGGUGAAAUGCAUAGAUAUCGCGCAGAACCCCGAUUGCGAAGGCGGCUUACUGGACCGUAACUGACGUUGAGGCUCGAAAGCGUGGGGAGCGAACAGGAUUAGAUACCCUUGUAGUC